Molecule: ribosomal RNA, 253 nt
Filed under: uncultured bacterium
Lineage: Bacteria
Description: partial 16S ribosomal RNA
Rfam family: Bacterial small subunit ribosomal RNA
Source: RNAcentral
GACAGAGGGUGCAAACGUUGUUCGGAAUUACUGGGCGUAAAGCGCGUGUAGGCUGCUUCGCAAGUCGGAUGUGAAAGCCCUGGGCUCAACCUAGGAAGUGCAUUCGAAACUGCGAAGCUCGAGUCCUGGAGAGGAAGGCGGAAUUCUCGGUGUAGAGGUGAAAUUCGUAGAUAUCGAGAGGAACGCCGGUGGCGAAGGCGGCCUUCUGGACAGUGACUGACGCUGAGACGCGAAAGCGUGGGGAGCAAACAGG